RNAcentral lists this ribosomal RNA (467 nucleotides) under uncultured bacterium. Its description in RNAcentral is "partial 16S ribosomal RNA". It matches the Rfam family "Bacterial small subunit ribosomal RNA", at positions 29 to 507 of the family's 1533-position model. The record is from RNAcentral.
ACGAACGCUGGCGGCGUGCUUAACACAUGCCGGUCGAACGGAAAGGCCCUGCUUUUGUGGGGUGCUCGAGUGGCGAACGGGUGAGUAACACGUGAGUAACCUGCCCUUGACUUUGGGAUAACUUCAGGAAACUGGGGCUAAUACCGGAUAGGAGCUCCUGCUGCAUGGUGGGGGUUGGAAAGUUUCGGCGGUUGGGGAUGGACUCGCGGCUUAUCAGCUUGUUGGUGGGGUAGUGGCUUACCAAGGCUUUGACGGGUAGCCGGCCUGAGAGGGUGACCGGCCACAUUGGGACUGAGAUACGGCCCAGACUCCUACGGGAGGCAGCAGUGGGGAAUAUUGCACAAUGGGCGGAAGCCUGAUGCAGCAACGCCGCGUGCGGGAUGACGGCCUUCGGGUUGUAAACCGCUUUCGCCUGUGACGAAGCGUGAGUGACGGUAAUGGGUAAAGAAGCACCGGCUAACUACGUG